AUUGAACGCUGGCGGCAGGCCUAACACAUGCAAGUCGAGCGAGAGGCGGACGGGUGAGUAAUGUAUGGGGACUGCCCGCUAGAGGGGGGUAACAACUGGAAAAGGUGACUACUACCGCAUACUGUCGGAUGUCACCUAUGGGAUUAGCUAGUGGUUGAGGUAAUGGCUUACCUAGGCGACGAACCCUAGCUGGUCUGAGAGGAUGACCAGCCACACUGGGACUGAGACACGGCCCAGACUCCUACGGAGGCAGCAGUGGGGAAUAUUGCACAAUGGGCGCAAGCCUGAUGCAGCCAUGCCGCGUGUAUGAAGAAGGCCCUAGGGUUGUAAAGUACUUUCAGUGGGGAGGCGUUACCGACAGAAGAAGCACCGGCUAACUCCGUGCCAGCCGCCGCGGUAAUUC
Molecule: ribosomal RNA, 403 nt
Filed under: uncultured bacterium
Lineage: Bacteria
Description: partial 16S ribosomal RNA
Rfam family: Bacterial small subunit ribosomal RNA
Source: RNAcentral